This 253-nucleotide ribosomal RNA is filed under the name uncultured bacterium. Its description in RNAcentral is "partial 16S ribosomal RNA". It matches the Rfam family "Bacterial small subunit ribosomal RNA", at positions 524 to 776 of the family's 1533-position model. The record is from RNAcentral.
UACAGGGGGUGCAAACGUUGCUCGGAAUCAUUGGGCGUAAAGCGCACGUAGGCGGUUUGUUAUGUCGGAUGUGAAAGCCCUUGGCUCAACUGAGGAAGUGCAUCCGAAACUGGCAAGCUAGAGUACUAAAGAGGAUCGCGGAAUUCCCGGUGUAGAGGUGAAAUUCGUAGAUAUCGGGAGGAACACCGGUGGCGAAGGCGGCGAUCUGGGUAGAUACUAACGCUGAGGUGCGAAAGCGUGGGGAGCAAACAGG